This is a long non-coding RNA of Octopus sinensis (East Asian common octopus), 272 nucleotides long. RefSeq lists it as uncharacterized. NCBI's taxonomy places the organism in Eukaryota, Metazoa, Mollusca, Cephalopoda, Octopoda, Octopodidae. The transcript has 3 exons. The record is from RefSeq and is a predicted model, not a curated record.
UAGAAUAAAUUUUAUCUAAGCAGUUGUUUCCUCUUUCUCUCCUUUUCUGUCUGUCUGUCUGUCUGUCUUUGUUUGAAAGCAGGUAGUGUUUGUUGACUUGUAUAACUCUACACAAGUACAGAAAUAUGUUUGACAUGAUGUAAAUGAUGAUGAUGAUGAUGAUGAUGAUGGUGGGUUUUCUUCAUCUUUGUGACAGCCAUAUGAAGCUGUCAGAGCCGAUGUCAUUCUUUGAGUGUUGCUGUCUUAUAAUCUCUAGCCGUAAAGAAACAGUU